GUUGUGAUCUUGUGGUGGAGUUUGCUGGGGAGCUAAUUGAGAGGCCGCUGCAGAAGUUUUGGGAGCGCUUUUGUGGGAGGAAAGGCGUGCGCGUCGUCGAGGAUGCUGUUUGUCGACCGGGCAGUCUUGACAUGGCGGUGUGGCCCCUCGAGCCUCUACGUCCCCCACCGGAUCUAUACUUUGGUAAUAUCAUGCUUUCAUCCAUGGAUGCUUCUUUGUUUUUCCAGGACGGCAGGAAGGAUGCAGCGAAGUUUUUACCCGAGUGCUGUGCUAACGCGUCCAUUUGUUACUAACAGGGAAGGCUCAAAACUCCACCGAACUUGGUGUUCCCAACAUCUUGGACCUUGUCUGCAGGCUGACGGAGAGUGACUACUUGUUCUACUUGCCAGUGAAGAACCUGGGAUGGAACUUGGGGUGCUUGCACACGGACAAAAGACUUGGUAGAGGAGGAAUACUCAAUACUUGAAGGUGACAGGAACGCCUUGCCUGGAGUGUCACGAACGUUCCCGGACGAGGAAUUUCCAGUGUCACCAUUCCGUGUAAUCGAGGCCAGGCUGCUGUUGCGCGGGAUCCGGUCCAACCGGCUCCUGAGCUCACUGGUGCUGCACCGCCCGCCAAACUCAGCACUCCCGCACUACUACACGAUUGUCAAUGCCAGCGCUCACGCGCGUCUCUGGCUCGGCCGCUACGACCUCCGGGUCUACUACGAUCACAGCUUGACAUGGAAGUUAACAUGCGCUCGCUUCUCGCUCGUUAUAACUGCUUCCUGAUCGUUUCUAGACGGUGAGAUGUGUACCCCUGGAGCUGCUUUGGCCGAACAAGAGGCUCUGAGCGAUGGUUUCAUGGUGGAGCGCCAGCCGUCGUUAGUGGAGGUUAAACUGCGACUGUACAUUAGACCUGAUGUGGUACGUACGUACGUCGUGUGUUGUCUUGUA
Selaginella moellendorffii is the source of this 935-nucleotide long non-coding RNA. RefSeq lists it as uncharacterized. NCBI's taxonomy places the organism in Eukaryota, Viridiplantae, Streptophyta, Lycopodiopsida, Selaginellales, Selaginellaceae. The transcript has 2 exons. The record is from RefSeq and is a predicted model, not a curated record.